Non-coding RNA from Cydia pomonella (codling moth), 72 nucleotides. NCBI's taxonomy places the organism in Eukaryota, Metazoa, Arthropoda, Insecta, Lepidoptera, Tortricidae. The record is from the annotation of a RefSeq genome assembly.
GUUUCACUAGCUCAGUUGGUAAAGCGGCGGGCUGGUAUCCCGAAGUCGCGAGUUCGAAUCUCGCGCGAGACA